UACAGAGGUCUCAAGCGUUGUUCGGAUUCAUUGGGCGUAAAGGGUGCGUAGGCGGCGCGGUAAGUCGGGUGUGAAAUCUCGGGGCUUAACUCCGAAACUGCAUUCGAUACUGCCGUGCUUGAGGACUGGAGAGGAGACUGGAAUUUACGGUGUAGCGGUGAAAUGCGUAGAUAUCGUAAAGAAGACCAGUGGCGAAGGCGGGUCUCUGGACAGUUCCUGACGCUGAGGCACGAAGGUCAGGGGAGCAAACGGG
RNAcentral lists this ribosomal RNA (253 nucleotides) under uncultured bacterium. RNAcentral's name for it is "partial 16S ribosomal RNA". It matches the Rfam family "Bacterial small subunit ribosomal RNA", at positions 524 to 776 of the family's 1533-position model. The record is from RNAcentral.